UUCCGGUUGAUCCUGCCAGAGGUCAUUGCUAUCGGAGUCCGAUUUAGCCAUGCUAGUCGCACGGGUUCAGCCCCGUGGCGAAUAGCUCCGUAACACGUGGCCAAUCUACCCUACAGACAGGCAUAACCUCGGGAAACUGAGGCUAAUUCCUGAUACCACUCCCACGCUGGAACGCCGGGAGUGAGAAACGUUCCGACGCUGUAGGAUGAGGCUGCGGCCGAUUAGGUAGACGGUGGGGUAACGGCCCACCGUGCCAAUAAUCGGUACGGGUUGUGAGAGCAAGAACCCGGAGACGGAAUCUGAGACGAGAUUCCGGGCCCUACGGGGCGCAGCAGGCGCGAAACCUUUACACUGCACGACAGUGCGAUAGGGGGACUCCGAGUGCGGAGGCAUAGUGCCUUCGCUUUUGUACACCCUAAGGCGGUGUACGAAUAAGAGCUGGGCAAGACCGGUGCCAGCCGCCGCGGUAAUACCGGCAGCUCGAGUGAUGACCGAUCUUAUUGGGCCUAAAGCGUUCGUAGCCGGCCGAGCAAGUUCGUCGGGAAAUCUACCAGCUCAACUGGUAGGCGUCCGGCGAAAACUGCCCGGCUUGGGACAGGGAGACUCGAAGGGUACGUCCGGGGUAGGAGUGAAAUCCUGUAAUCCUGGACGGACCACCGAUGGCGAAAGCACUUCGAGAGAACUGAUCCGACGGUCAGGAACGAAAGCUGGGGUCUCGAACCGGAUUAGAUACCCGGGUAGUCCCAGCUGUAAACGAUGUUCGCUAGGUGCGACGCAGACUACGAGUCUGUGUUGUGCCGUAGGGAAGCCGAGAAGCGAACCGCCUGGGAAGUACGUCCGCAAGGAUGAAACUUAAAGGAAUUGGCGGGGGAGCACUACAACCGGAGGAGCCUGCGGUUUAAUUGGACUCAACGCCGGACAUCUCACCAGCCCCGACUGUUCGAAUGACGCUCAGUGUGAUGAGCUUAGCAGACGAUCAGAGAGGAGGUGCAUGGCCGCCGUCAGCUCGUACCGUGAGGCGUCCUGUUAAGUCAGGCAACGAGCGAGACCCGCAUCCCUAAUUGCCAGCAAGACCCACGAAGGUCGUUGGGU
RNAcentral lists this ribosomal RNA (1092 nucleotides) under uncultured archaeon. RNAcentral's name for it is "bacterial SSU rRNA". It matches the Rfam family "Archaeal small subunit ribosomal RNA", at positions 1 to 1092 of the family's 1478-position model. The record is from RNAcentral.